CCUACGGGAGGCAGCAGUGAGGAAUAUUGGUCAAUGGACGCAAGUCUGAACCAGCCAUGCCGCGUGCAGGAAGACGGCUCUAUGAGUUGUAAACUGCUUUUGUACGAGGGUAAACGCAGAUACGCGUAUCUGUCUGAAAGUAUCGGACGAAUAAGGAUCGGCUAACUCCGUGCCAGCAGCCGCGGUAAUACGGAGGAUUCGAGCGUUAUCCGGAUUUAUUGGGUUUAAAGGGUGCGUAGGCGGGCGGAUAAGUUAGAGGUUAAAGCCCGGGGCUCAACUUCGGAAUUGCCUCUGAAACUGUCAGGCUAGAGAGUAGUUGAGGUAGGCGGAAUGUAUGGUGUAGCGGUGAAAUGCUUAGAGAUCAUACAGAACACCGAUUGCGAAGGCAGCUUACCAAGCUACUUCUGACGUUGAGGCACGAAAGCGUGGGGAGCAAACAGGAUUAGAUACCCCUGUAGUC
This 460-nucleotide ribosomal RNA is filed under the name uncultured bacterium. Its description in RNAcentral is "partial 16S ribosomal RNA". It matches the Rfam family "Bacterial small subunit ribosomal RNA", at positions 338 to 795 of the family's 1533-position model. The record is from RNAcentral.